RNAcentral lists this unclassified non-coding RNA (308 nucleotides) under Hevea brasiliensis (rubber tree). The record is from RNAcentral. Lineage: Eukaryota; Viridiplantae; Streptophyta; Magnoliopsida; Malpighiales; Euphorbiaceae.
CCAAUGUGAAGGCAGCUGGAUUGUUGUGGAAAAUCCUAUAUUUUGAUGGCUAAUCCACUUUGAAAUUUCAGAUCCAGAGAAGCAUAAACAAGAUUCCCUUGCCACCACAGAAGGUAUCUGCACCAUGACUUCUAAUUAACAAGGAAUACGAUCAGUAAAGAAAAAGAAAAAAUAGAUGAGGGAGACAGAAAUAGACCUGAUUGCACAGCCUUUUGGAAUAACAAUGAAUUUUUGUUAGUGCAUAUGCCAUGAUACGCUUCUUUGCCAAAUUAUUCAACUGGUAACAAUUAGUGAAAAGGAAUUCAAAA